RNAcentral lists this long non-coding RNA (272 nucleotides) under Triticum aestivum (bread wheat). RNAcentral's name for it is "long non-coding RNA (TAES_LNC019111)". Lineage: Eukaryota; Viridiplantae; Streptophyta; Magnoliopsida; Poales; Poaceae. The record is from RNAcentral.
UUGUUGGCAGAUAUUUUGAGUAAAUUCAAGACGAAAGAUGUUCAAAGAAGCUCCAAGACAUUCUUAUAUAGCAAGUUAUGUAAUAAUAGCUGGGUUAUCUGGGAAUUUAAUGUAUCUUCUCUCUGUUUGUGAAUGAAAUAGUAAUUAUGUAUGUGAAUUAAUGUAUCUUCUCUGUUUAUGAAUUUCAUGUAUGUUUUAGAAUUACAAUUUCUGUUUCAUAUGAAAUAGUAAUUAUGUAUGUGAUUUGAAAAUGUGUGCAAUGAAAACAUGAC